Molecule: long non-coding RNA, 821 nt
Filed under: Capsicum annuum
Lineage: Eukaryota; Viridiplantae; Streptophyta; Magnoliopsida; Solanales; Solanaceae
Description: long non-coding RNA (CANN_LNC018781)
Source: RNAcentral
CUAAUCCCUUCAACACUUGAAAAAUGUAGCCACAGACCUUCAAUGCAAGCUUACUCCUUCUUCUUCGGUGGGUAAUCAACACUAUUCCUAUCGAUUCAUUAUCUUUCUUCAUAUCAACUUUCAAGAGUAAGCAUGCUACUCCUUUGUAUCUUCAAUAUAAAAAAACUUUUGUUCUUAUUAUUGUAUUUUUCAACUGAGUUUUAUGGUGGAUGGAAGUGGUGGUUCUUUUAUGUUACUGAGGGUGCUCGUUUAGAAUGAUGUCCUCCAUUGCUAAGUAUAAUCAUUUCACUCUUAAAUAUUUUUUCCCUCUUCUUAUGACUAACUGAUUUGAUUUUGCAGGUGACACUGUGGUGAAGUACAUGAGAAGCUUCACAUUUCUGCUUCAUGGUAAUGGAGUCAUCAUUCAGGUUAACCAUUUCUAAUUCGACCCAAGCCCCUCUCAUUUUGCCAAGUCCUUUUUGAAGGUUGUAAUAGCCUAGGCUAGUUAGCACUUCACCUUUUUCUUGCCCAAGAGGCACUUGGAAAUUCAGAUCUUAUGAAAAUGCUAUAUGUUUUAGCCUUCCCAGGCCCUUUAUUUCUUGAUAGAUGAAACUCUCAAAUAUUGGCUUUAUAGUUUAUCACUAAUUAUGAUCCUUCUACCUUGUACUUUCAUGCUUUUAAAACUCUCAUAUUUGUAAUUUCUUAAAUUUAUUGCACGAUUAGCUAGAUAAUCUGCUAGUUUAUUCCCUUUCCUGGGGAUAUGUUGUAUAAUAACAUCUUUGCUUUGAAGAUUAGCUUGAAUUUCUUCUAUUAAUUGUGCAAUACUCCACAGACAUCCCCAC